This 406-nucleotide ribosomal RNA is filed under the name Dasia subcaerulea (Boulengers tree skink). RNAcentral's name for it is "partial 12S ribosomal RNA". It matches the Rfam family "Bacterial small subunit ribosomal RNA", at positions 781 to 1391 of the family's 1533-position model. The record is from RNAcentral. Lineage: Eukaryota; Metazoa; Chordata; Lepidosauria; Squamata; Scincidae.
GAUACCCCACUAUGCUCAGCCCUAAACAUAGACAGCACCAAACACGCCGCUGUCCGCCAGAGAACUACAAGUGAAAAGCUAAAAACUCAAAGGACUUGGCGGUGCUCCACACCGUCCUAGAGGAGCCUGUCCUAUAAUCGAUACCCCACGUUCUACCCCACCACUUUUUGCAUCUCAGCCUAUAUACCGCCGUCGUCAGCUUACCUUGUGAAAGAAACAAAAUAAGCAAAAUAGUCUAUAACGAACACGUCAGGUCAAGGUGUAGCAUAUAAAAUGGAAGAGACGGGCUACAUUUUCUACCACAGAAAAAACGAACGGGACAGUGAAACCUGCCCCUAAAGGCGGAUUUAGAAGUAAGACAAGCAAGAAAACUUUUCUUAACCCCGCUCUGGAGCGCGCACACACC